GGGGAAUAUUGCACAAUGGGCGAAAGCCUGAUGCAGCAACGCCGCGUGAAGGAUGAAGGGUUUCGGCUCGUAAACUUCUAUCAACAGGGACGAAAAAAAUGACGGUACCUGAAUAAGAAGCCCCGGCUAACUACGUGCCAGCAGCCGCGGUAAUACGUAGGGGGCAAGCGUUAUCCGGAAUUACUGGGUGUAAAGGGAGAGUAGGCGGCAUGGUAAGUUAGAUGUGAAAGCCCGGGGCUUAACCUCGGGAUUGCAUUUAAAACUAUCAAGCUAGAGUACAGGAGAGGUAAGUGGAAUUCCUAGUGUAGCGGUGAAAUGCGUAGAUAUUAGGAAGAACACCAGUGGCGAAGGCGACUUACUGGACUGAAACUGACGCUGAGGCUCGAAAGCGUGGGGAGCGAAC
RNAcentral lists this ribosomal RNA (403 nucleotides) under uncultured bacterium. RNAcentral's name for it is "bacterial SSU rRNA". It matches the Rfam family "Bacterial small subunit ribosomal RNA", at positions 356 to 773 of the family's 1533-position model. The record is from RNAcentral.